This 75-nucleotide antisense RNA is filed under the name Streptomyces antibioticus. Its description in RNAcentral is "ASpks sRNA". It matches the Rfam family "ASpks TB sRNA". RNAcentral also lists the same sequence under 2 other names. The record is from RNAcentral. Lineage: Bacteria; Bacillati; Actinomycetota; Actinomycetes; Kitasatosporales; Streptomycetaceae.
CUUCAACGAGCCCAGCAGAAGCGGCUGCCGCGCGGGCCGGUCCUGGCCGUAGACGGCGAUCAGCGCCUCCGCCUC